This is a long non-coding RNA of Coffea eugenioides, 260 nucleotides long. RefSeq lists it as uncharacterized. The record is from RefSeq and is a predicted model, not a curated record. The transcript has 3 exons. Lineage: Eukaryota; Viridiplantae; Streptophyta; Magnoliopsida; Gentianales; Rubiaceae.
AUAAGUUGCAAAACAAGACUAGAAAUUCAACUAGUACAUUUCCUAACUAAUUUGAAGACGGAAAAUAUGAGAUCUUGCUUAGUGAUCCUCCUCUUCUUCUCAGUUGUUUCGCUUGUGUGUAUUAGCGAGGCAGCAAGACACGGACCAGAGAAUUAUGGAAAUGAAACACAGGAGCUUCUUAAAUGGGCUUCCCGGAGUGGAAAUCUGGGUCUUCGUGCACUUUGGCUCAUUCUGCAUUUUGCCGUCACCAUAUGGUAUUU